CUCUUAGCGAUCUUAAUUGUAGGUUGUAUGAAUAAAUAAAUACAUUUCAUUUUUUCUUCUGUUAUUGCCAGGGAUGGAGUUUUAUUUAACAUUCAAAGUUCAUUUAUGUUCUUGGCUAUCGGCCUUGUCUAAUUACACAACUGCUUCAAUCUCGCUAUUUCUAAGAGCUUUUCAGAUUGAACUCAAUUAGUUUUUAAUGGAUACAUGUUGUUUGAUGGUUUUUAAGAGAUUACUUGCGUUUUACCGCGUACAUACUUAUGUACAUAUGUACAUACAUAUGUAAGUUGCGUCUGCUAAACAUUGUUUGAAACCAGUUCGACUAAUAAAUCGGCUUUUAAUUGGUUUUUAAGACUGAUUUUACAACUUUUUAGCUUAAGCUUAAUGUCUGGUAACUAUUUAUAUUAAAAAUAGAUGGGUUACAAUUUUGUCGAGAAGUCAAAACCAACUAAUUUUCUUGUUGUUUAAUAUUUCAAUCGCACAAUCGAGCUGCUCUUUGACCUACCCUUAGGAAAUCACAAUUUAUGACUCCAGACUUCAGAGAUACGAGCAAACUACGUAUGUGCAUUUGAGAUGUGGGCGCCAGUCGUUGUGCAAUUCGCAUGCCUAAGCUACCUGGUGCACACCACGCGGUGGCCUGAUCCCGUUCCCCACAUCAGUCAUCCCCCCAGCGGAAAGCCAACAAUGUACAACAACUUGUAGAAUGGCCAUAACAAUUAUAAAACACGAACACGAGCCGAUGCUGCUAGAGAGCGAGGGAGUAGGGCUGAGGAGUGGGAGCACGUGGGGGAGACUGAGCUGCGGUUGACUACUUGGGUUACAGUGGUGUUUGGAGAAUUCUGCAUUGUGCAGCUUUCCCGGUUCCUCACCCGUUUAUCCGAGUUGCGGCUGCCAAUAAGCGGCUGCCAAUGUGUCGAGUAACUCGGCUGCGGCUUUGGAGGUGACAACAACUGGCAGCUAAGC
This 960-nucleotide long non-coding RNA is filed under the name Drosophila guanche. The record is from RNAcentral. Lineage: Eukaryota; Metazoa; Arthropoda; Insecta; Diptera; Drosophilidae.